UACGGAGGAUGCGAGCGUUAUCCGGAUUUAUUGGGUUUAAAGGGUGCGUAGGCGGGAUGCCAAGUCAGCGGUAAAAAUGCGGUGCUCAACGCCGUCGAGCCGUUGAAACUGGCGUUCUUGAGUGGGCGAGAAGUACGCGGAAUGCGUGGUGUAGCGGUGAAAUGCAUAGAUAUCACGCAGAACUCCGAUUGCGAAGGCAGCGUACCGGCGCCCUACUGACGCUGAAGCACGAAGGCGUGGGUAUCGAACAGG
RNAcentral lists this ribosomal RNA (252 nucleotides) under uncultured bacterium. RNAcentral describes it as "partial 16S ribosomal RNA". It matches the Rfam family "Bacterial small subunit ribosomal RNA", at positions 524 to 776 of the family's 1533-position model. The record is from RNAcentral.